Long non-coding RNA from Apteryx owenii (little spotted kiwi), 2851 nucleotides. The record is from Ensembl. Lineage: Eukaryota; Metazoa; Chordata; Aves; Apterygiformes; Apterygidae.
GCGGCCCCCGCCACGGGGCUCUGCAGCGGCUGGUGGAGCAGGGCGCCCGGCUGCGCCGGGGGCACCCGCAGCGCCUGCUGCGAGCCCAGGACGCCCGGCUGCGGGGAGGCCAAGAGGAGCUGCUGGCCCUGCCCCAGCUCAGCCUGGUGCUUCGGCGCCGGCGGGAGGCCCAACUGGGCCGGGGGCUCGGGGCCACCCAGUCCCGGGGCGGUGAGGGCUCCCUGCUGCUCUUGGGGGCCCCCGUGCAGCUGUCCCCCGCUCUCGGUGCCCUCGGCGGGCAGGGCGCUGCCGUCCGCCCCUCCCGGCUGGUCCUUGGCAGCCAGGACCGCCGGGGCCGGCUGCAUUCCCUGACUCAGGUGCAGCACGGAGGGGGCCUGGCCCAGAGCCCCGUGCUGCGGAAAGUGCUGGAUCUGGGGCUGCCCCUGGCCCAGCCCCAGGAGGCCCGGCUGGGCGGCCGCGUGCUGCGCUACGGCGUUGGGCUGCUGCGGGGUCAGCAGCGCCCGCGACUGCCCCAGCUGCUGGGACAGCACGAGCCGGUGCCCCAUCAUCCCCGGAGUCUGCGGCACCAGCUGGGGCGAGCCCAGCACCCGCUGCUGGUGGGGGGCCAGGAGCACCUGCCGCUGGGGCGCCGGGUGGCCCAGCACGCCCUGGUGCUGCAGCACCGGUGCCUGCGCAUGGCCCAGCAAGCCCGGCUGCGGCUGCUGCUGCUGCUGGGGCGAGAGUUGCUGCACCAGGAUGCCCUGCUGGCUGCCCAUCAGCCCUGGCUGCUUCGGCACCAUGGGCUGCCCCACGGCGCCCUGCUGCGGGGCGGCCGCCGCUGGCUGCUGCUGCUGCUGCCCCAGCAAGCCAGCUUGGCCCACGAGGCCGGCCUGCUGCAUCGGCGCUUGUCCCAUGACGCCUGGCUGCUGCAUUGAGGCUUGCGCCAUGAUGCCUUGUUGCGGCAUCGAUGUCUGUCCCAUGACGCCGGGCUGCUGCAUCGAUGUCUGUGCCAUGACGCCCUGCGGCUGCAUCGAUGCCUGCGCCAUGAUGCCCUGCGGCUGCUGCAUCGACGUCUGCGCCAUGAUGCCCUGCGGCUGCAUCGAGGCCUGUGCCAUGACACCCGAUUGCUGCAUUGACGUCUGUCCCACGACGCCUGGUUGCUGCAUCGAUGUCUGUCCCAUGACACCCGGCUGCUGCAUCGAGGUCUGUCCCAUGACGCCUGGUUGCUGCAUUGACGACUGUCCCAUGACACCCUGCGGCUGCAUCGACGCCUGUCCCAUGACACCUGGUUGCUGCAUCGACGCCUGUCCCAUGACACCCUGCGGCUGCAUUGACGACUGUCCCAUGACGCCUGGUUGCUGCAUCGAUGUCUGUCCCAUGACACCCUGUGGCUGCAUCGACGCCUGUCCCAUGACGCCUGAUUGCUGCAUUGACGCCUGUCCCAUGACGCCUGGCUGCUGCAACGAUGCCUGUCCCAUAACGCCCGGCUGCUGCAAUGACGCCUGUCCCAUGACACCUGGCCCUGCUGCUGCGGCAGGGCCACCUGCACGCCGUGGGGGGCCGCCAGGACGUGGGGCUGCGCCGGGGCCAUGCCCAUGUGCCCGGGCAGCGCCGGGCCCUGCUGCGGCACCCCGAGUCGCGGCUGCUGCGGCUGCAUCAGCUGCUGCCGGGCCAUCAGCCCCAGCUGGAGGGGCGGCUGGGGGGUGCCCAGGCGGGGCGCCUGUCCCUCGGGGGGCUGCCCGGGUGCCGUGGCGUGCAUCAUUGGGUGUCCUGGGGCCGGGAGGUGCGGCGGGGCGCCCCGGGGCAGGUGGGCCGACAUCUGCUGCUUCUUCUGCAGCUCCUUCUUCUCGUGCUCCAGCAGGUCCUCGAUGAGCAGAGGCAGCUCGCUGGCCACCAGCGAGCUCUCCAUCUUGUCCAGGUCAUCGGCCGGCGAGUGCCGGGUGCUGCCCAAGCCCAGGGCGCCUCCGUCCAGCUCAAACUUCUCCAGCAAGGGGCUGCUCUGGCUGCCCAGCUGGGCUGGGGCCAGCCCGCGGCCGGGGCCAGCGUAGGGGUCCUUGUCCAGCACGGGGACGCCGGCAUGGCCGCUGCUCGGGAAGUGAGUCAAGCCAAGGCGAGUUGGGCCAGCCCCAGGGCUCAGGAGGGUCUGGCCCGAUUUCAGGGUCAGUCCAAGGGAAACRGAGAUUUUAUCUGUGCCCUGCAGGGCCUCCGACUUGAUGGGGACUGGGAGCCGCUCGGGGCCGCCGGCGGUGAACUGGCAGGGAGACGUCUUCAGGCAACCGUCCUCCAGCUUGGGCUUGACGUCGGCAGGCAGCGCGCCCGCCUUCGCCUCCAGGCCCUGUGUCUUGAAGGCUGGGUCAGGGGCCAGCGCGGCGCCCGGCGGGCCGGGAGCAGGCGCCAAGCCCACCCCUGGCACCAGCCCUUCCUUGGCCGCUUCCCGGUCCUCCGCGGCUGGAGCCGUGUCCUUGCUGUCCCCGGGGUCAGGGAGCUUCAAGCUGGGUGCCGGUGGCUCCGUCUUGAGCUGGGCCUCGCGCUCAGCCUUCUCGUUGGCCGACUCGACCAGGCGGAGGUGCUCGUUGAAGAUGUCCUUCUUGUCGCCGGUGUCCAGUUCGGGGUCGGUGUAGGCCAGCAGGUCGAACUCGUCACCGUUCAGCAGGUCAUCGAGGUGGGGGUCCGCCGUCUCCAGGCUGUCCAGGUUGUCCAGGUCAUCGUCCCCUUUAGCCACAUCCGGAUCCAGGCUCAGAUUGGCCAAAUCAUCGUCAUCUUCCAGGUCCUUGUGGGAGCCGAAGUCAUCGUCCAAAUCGGGCUCUACCGGGACCUCGCAGGGAAGCCGCCCCCCUUCCAGGCUCAGGUGGCUCUUGCCUGGGGCCGGAGC